CUGGAGCACUGUGGUACAGGUCGCAUCAGUAUUGACGAACGCUGGCGUGGAUGCUUUACACACAAGUCGAAUCGGCAGCACGGACUUCGGUCUGGUGGCGAGUGGCGAACGGGUGAGUAAUGUAUCGGAACGCCUAGUAGCGGGGGAUAACUACGCGAAAGCGUAGCUGCUAAUACUGCACGCCUUCGGGGGAAAGCGGGGACCUUCGGGCCUCGCACCAUUAGAGCGGCCGAUAUCGGAUUAGCUAGUUGAGUGCAGCCGCUCACCAAGGCGACGAUCCGUAGCCGGUUUGAGAGGACGACCAGCCACACUGGGACUGGAGACACGGCCCAGACUCCUACGGGAGGCAGCAGUGGGGAAUUUUGGGAUAAAUGGGGAACCCUGAUCCAGCCAUCCCGCGUGCGAUGAAGGCUCGCAAGGUUGUAAAGCACUCUUGCAGGAGAAACGGCACGGGAUAAUACCCCGUGCAACGACGGUACCGCAGAAUAAGCACUGGCUAACUACGUGCCAGCAGCCGCGGUAAUACGUAGGGUGCAAGCGUUAAUCGGAAUUACUGGCGUAAGCGCGCAGGCGGUUCGGAAAGAAAGAUGUGAAAUCCCAGAGCUAACUGGAACUGCAUUUUUAACUACCGAGCUAGAGGUCAGAGGGAGGCGGAAUUCCGCGCAGGCAGCGAAACGCGGAUAUGCGGAGGAAACACCGAUACGGUGUUUCCGGGAUGGGAAUACCAGACGUCAUGCACGGUGUUGCAUAAACAGGAUUAGAUACCCCGGUAGUCCACGCCCUAAACGAUGUCAACUAGCUGUUGGGGCUCUCGCCUUGGCAGCGCAGCUAACGUGAAGUUGACCGCCUGGGAGUACGGUCGCAAGAUUAAAACUCAAAGGAAUUGACGGGGACUCGCACAAGCGGUGGAUGAUGUGGAUUAAUUCGAUGCAACGCGAAAAACCUUACCUACCCUUGACAUGUCUGGAAUCCCGAAGAGAUUUGGGAGUGCUCGCAAGAGAACCGGAACACAGGUGCUGCAUGGCUGUCGUCAGCUCGUGUCGUGAGAUGUUGCUAAGUCCUGCAACGAGCGCAACUUUUGUCACAGUUGGUACAGCGGCGAAUUUCCUAACAGACUGCCGGUGACAAACCGGAGGAAGGUGGGGAUGACGUCAAGUCCUCAUGGCCCUUAUGGUAGGGCUUCACACGUCAUACAAUGGUCGGGACAGAGGGUCGCCAACCCGCGAGGGGGAGCCAAUCCCAGAAACCCGAUCGUAGUCCGGAUCGCAGUCUGCAACUCGACUGCGUGAAGUCGAAUCGCUAGUAAUCGCGGAUCAGCAUGUCGCGGUGAAUACGUUCCCGGGUCUUGUACACACCGCCCGUCACACCAUGGGAGUGGGUUUUACCAGAAGUAGUUAGCUCAACCGUAAGAGUGGGCGGGUUUACCACGGUGGUAUUCAUGACUUAGUGUCAAAUAGCGGUAG
This 1463-nucleotide ribosomal RNA is filed under the name uncultured Bordetella sp. Its description in RNAcentral is "partial 16S-23S ribosomal RNA intergenic spacer". It matches the Rfam family "Bacterial small subunit ribosomal RNA". The record is from RNAcentral. Lineage: Bacteria; Pseudomonadati; Pseudomonadota; Betaproteobacteria; Burkholderiales; Alcaligenaceae.